RNAcentral lists this ribosomal RNA (253 nucleotides) under uncultured bacterium. Its description in RNAcentral is "partial 16S ribosomal RNA". It matches the Rfam family "Bacterial small subunit ribosomal RNA", at positions 524 to 776 of the family's 1533-position model. The record is from RNAcentral.
UACGAAGGGGGCUAGCGUUGCUCGGAAUUACUGGGCGUAAAGCGCACGUAGGCGGCUUACUAAGUCAGGGGUGAAAUCCUGGAGCUCAACUCCAGAACUGCCUUUGAUACUGGUGAGCUUGAGUCCGGAAGAGGUGAGUGGAACUGCGAGUGUAGAGGUGAAAUUCGUAGAUAUUCGCAAGAACACCAGUGGCGAAGGCGGCUCACUGGUCCGGUACUGACGCUGAGGUGCGAAAGUGUGGGGAGCGAACAGG